UACGGAGGGUGCAAGCAUUAAUCGGAUUUAUUGGGCGUAAAGGGCGCGUAGGCGGGAAAAUAAGUCAGAUGUGAAAUCCUGGAGCUCAACUCCAGAACAGCAUUUGAAACUGUUUUUCUUGAGGGUAGACGGAGAAAAUGGAAUUCCACAAGUAGCGGUGAAAUGCGUAGAUAUGUGGAAGAACACCAGUGGCGAAGGCGGUUUUCUAGUUUACUCCUGACGCUGAGGCGCGAAAGCAAGGGGAUCAAACAGG
This 253-nucleotide ribosomal RNA is filed under the name uncultured bacterium. RNAcentral describes it as "partial 16S ribosomal RNA". It matches the Rfam family "Bacterial small subunit ribosomal RNA", at positions 524 to 776 of the family's 1533-position model. The record is from RNAcentral.